Molecule: ribosomal RNA, 705 nt
Filed under: Ruegeria sp. AU613
Lineage: Bacteria; Pseudomonadati; Pseudomonadota; Alphaproteobacteria; Rhodobacterales; Roseobacteraceae
Description: bacterial SSU rRNA
Rfam family: Bacterial small subunit ribosomal RNA
Source: RNAcentral
AGUCGAGCGCACCUUCGGGUGAGCGGCGGACGGGUUAGUAACGCGUGGGAACAUACCCUUUGGUACGGAAUAGCCUCUGGAAACGGAGAGUAAUACCGUAUGAGCCCUUCGGGGGAAAGAUUUAUCGCCAAAGGAUUGGCCCGCGUUAGAUUAGGUAGUUGGUGGGGUAAUGGCCUACCAAGCCUACGAUCUAUAGCUGGUUUUAGAGGAUGAUCAGCAACACUGGGACUGAGACACGGCCCAGACUCCUACGGGAGGCAGCAGUGGGGAAUCUUGGACAAUGGGGGCAACCCUGAUCCAGCCAUGCCGCGUGAGUGAUGAAGGCCUUAGGGUCGUAAAGCUCUUUCGCCUGUGAAGAUAAUGACGGUAGCAGGUAAAGAAACCCCGGCUAACUCCGUGCCAGCAGCCGCGGUAAUACGGAGGGGGUUAGCGUUGUUCGGAAUUACUGGGCGUAAAGCGCACGUAGGCGGACUGGAAAGUUGGGGGUGAAAUCCCAGGGCUCAACCCUGGAACUGCCUCCAAAACUAUCAGUCUAGAGUUCGAGAGAGGUGAGUGGAAUUCCGAGUGUAGAGGUGAAAUUCGUAGAUAUUCGGAGGAACACCAGUGGCGAAGGCGGCUCACUGGCUCGAUACUGACGCUGAGGUGCGAAAGUGUGGGGAGCAAACAGGAUUAGAUACCCUGGUAGUCCACACCGUAAACGAUGAA